RNAcentral lists this unclassified non-coding RNA (183 nucleotides) under uncultured Inocybe. RNAcentral's name for it is "sequence contains ITS2". The record is from RNAcentral. Lineage: Eukaryota; Fungi; Basidiomycota; Agaricomycetes; Agaricales; Cortinariaceae.
GACCUUCUCUCAACCAUAUCAGUCAAUGAUGUGGCUUGGAUUGUGGGGUUUGCAGGCUUUCAAGUAUGAAAGUGCAGCUUCCCUGAAAUGCAUUAGUGGUAUCUGUCUGAGCUGCUAUUUGGUGUGAUAACUUAUCUAUGCCUUUUGGUGAUCAGCACCGCUUAUAACUUAUCAAUUUGACAA